This is a transfer RNA of 105 nucleotides. It matches the Rfam family "tRNA". Rfam says of the family: Transfer RNA (tRNA) molecules are approximately 80 nucleotides in length. Their secondary structure includes four short double-helical elements and three loops (D, anti-codon, and T loops). The record is from Rfam.
GGGCAAUUGGUUUAGUGGUAUAAUACCCCCUUAGCAUCCUCUUCCUAAUUCCGAAUUGGGAAGGAGCGAUGGGGGUGGUCCAGGGUUCGAUUCCCUGAUUGUCCA